UGAAAAAGAACCUGAAACCGUGUACGUACAAGCAGUGGGAGCACCCUUUUGGGUGUGACUGCGUACCUUUUGUAUAAUGGGUCAGCGACUUAUAUUCUGUAGCAAGGUUAACCGAAUAGGGGAGCCGGAGGGAAACCGAGUCUUAAUUGGGCGUUAAGUUGCAGGGUAUAGACCCGAAACCCGGUGAUCUAGCCAUGGGCAGGUUGAAGGUUGGGUAACACUAACUGGAGGACCGAACCGACUAAUGUUGAAAAA
Molecule: ribosomal RNA, 255 nt
Filed under: Salmonella enterica subsp. enterica
Lineage: Bacteria; Pseudomonadati; Pseudomonadota; Gammaproteobacteria; Enterobacterales; Enterobacteriaceae
Also listed under: 1 other name
Description: partial 23S ribosomal RNA
Rfam family: Bacterial large subunit ribosomal RNA
Source: RNAcentral